RNAcentral lists this unclassified non-coding RNA (430 nucleotides) under Bombus terrestris (buff-tailed bumblebee). RNAcentral's name for it is "misc RNA ENSBTSG00005022754.1". The record is from RNAcentral. Lineage: Eukaryota; Metazoa; Arthropoda; Insecta; Hymenoptera; Apidae.
AUUAGUCACAUUCAUUGUUUAAAGAACCUUAAAAGUCAGCCGAUAAAAUUCAUUAGAUAAGUAUUCGUCGAUUCAUCGUCAAUCGUCAAACAAAAAAAAUAUAAAGAAAAGAUUAAAGUGUUAAAAGUUCAAUGCGAUUAUCAGCUUUUUAUAUUGUGUAAAAUAUUAUUCUUUUUUAAUUCGAACAUUCAGUCUAAUAAAUUUUGACUAACGACAUUAAAAUUCAAGGAAUGAAAUAUAAUCUGGAUGAAUUACAUGGUAUUUGGAUUAUUCAUGCUGAACCCUCAAAGUAUGUAAACGUAAUUGUAGAUAAAUAUAAAAAUUACGUUAGAACAUCAAAUUGUGAGAAGUCAAUUUUGUUAUUUAUUAGUAUCUUCUGUCACUCUAUCUUCAACAUUAAACACCCGUGAUAAAUUAUACCAAUAAACAA